Long non-coding RNA from Mauremys mutica (yellowpond turtle), 517 nucleotides. RefSeq lists it as uncharacterized. The transcript is spliced from 4 exons. The record is from RefSeq and is a predicted model, not a curated record. NCBI's taxonomy places the organism in Eukaryota, Metazoa, Chordata, Testudines, Geoemydidae.
CUGGGCAGUGAAGUGCCACUUAACCCCGCUGUGAUGCACAGAUCUUGCCCUGGCUGUCUACACAGGGCUGUAUUUCACCCCGUCAGAGUGUAUUCUAAGGGCCCCCCGUGCAUCAUAUGGGCGUUCUUGGGGGUGCAGAUGGCAUCAGACCUGCACCUGAAUAAAUAAUAGGGAAUGAAAUAUGCAGACACUAAAGUUCUGCAGCCAAAUUCUCAGAAACCUUCCUCUUCCAUAUAGGAUCAGGAUUUUGGUUUGAAUUCAUUUUUUUUUAAAAAGUGCUAAGCAGAAUGCUACACUGUAAGAAGAGGAAAGCGAAUCAAAAACUGAAAGAUUGUUACUAAAACCAAUGAACAGCUGCAGAGAGUGCAGACCCGGCAAAGCAAACAAAUGAAUACUGAAAAGGAUCCCCAAAGGAGGUGUACGGAUCCGGGACUCUAAUGUCUGCCAGAAGCUUCAGCCACCUUCACAGGUUAGAGCUCACCGUCCAUUGCGGAGGUGAAGACCGGAUGAGAGCUGC